Molecule: long non-coding RNA, 1198 nt
Organism: Cyprinus carpio (common carp)
Lineage: Eukaryota; Metazoa; Chordata; Actinopteri; Cypriniformes; Cyprinidae
Source: Ensembl
AUAAGUUAAAAGUUAAAGUUAGAACUACUAAGAGAUUGUACACAAAUAAGCAAAAUAAGUGUCUAAAAUAAAGGUUUAUUGUUAGUUAUUCGAAUGUAAAUUUUAAAGUGACCCAUGAUAAAAAAAAAAAAAAUCAUGAAACUUUUUUUUUUUUUUAAAUAAUAGACAGUCUGUGAUCAACAUAUAAUGUAUCAUAUUACAAGACCACUCACAACUAUUAAAAAAAAAAAAAAACAAUAGAACCCUGCCCAAAACACAAUAGAAAAUGUAAUGGAUUUAAUCCCAGCUAACACUUGACGUACCGGUUACGUAAUGGAUUGGUACUUUUUGGUAAUUUCACGAUUUACCGGAUGGCAACGUAGCUACCACGUCCUAGGCACAUAAUGGUAAUACCAAUAAAAUUAUGAUUAAUAUUAAUGGUUUACAUGCCGCUUAAUAUUUAAAUAUGCUUAUUUAAACGUUUUUAGACUGGACAUCUUAAAUAUGUCGAUUAAAUAACCCAAGACAGAAUUAAUACGCUACAUGCAGACAGCUCUGUGCUGUAUGGGAAUAUAACUGCGCGGCUGCGCGCCUCUCGCGCGCUCAAGUUCAGGACAGCGCGUGCACAGCAGAGCUGCGUCUGAGCGAUCGUUCCGCCGAAAAUGUCUUCUGACAGCAGUAACAACGCUUUUUUCAGGGGCUUUUUUUUUCAUCGGACAGGAACUUUCGUUUUAUCAGGUACACAGCACUGGUGGGGGCUGGAGUAACCAUAGCAACCUGGGGACGUAACGGCGCCUGAAGAAGACAGGCCCAACUCCGGCUCUCCAGUGCGAUACUGAGAGUACUGUAACAAUCACAUUAAUAGUGUCUUUAUCGGAAGUGUUUUUAUAAUAUUAAUGCUUCUGUAAUUAUUUAAUAUAUGUCUUGAUUCAUGCGCGAUAUAGUUAUGUUUUAAAUGGAAUGGAGCUUUGUUGUUCAUUUGAAUGUUUCUGUUUGUAUGCCGUUUUGAACGCGGUUUGAUAUGUUGCUGUUAAUAUGUUGCUUUUAUCUAUACAGUAAAUGAAAAGUAUUCCAUUCAUAUGUUAUUAAAAAGUUUCUAAAAUAGUUAUAGUCCAAUAAGGACAAGUUAAAUUGCUGCAUGUACUGCAUGUACAUUUAUUGCAUGUCCGCCCAAGGAAUAUUCAAUAAAAAAAUUAAAAAAAAAUAUUAACUGAUUACC